RNAcentral lists this antisense RNA (69 nucleotides) under Amycolatopsis sp. YIM 10. RNAcentral's name for it is "ASpks TB sRNA". It matches the Rfam family "ASpks TB sRNA". Lineage: Bacteria; Bacillati; Actinomycetota; Actinomycetes; Pseudonocardiales; Pseudonocardiaceae. The record is from Rfam by way of RNAcentral.
CUUCACCGAACCGAGCAGCAGCGGCCGUUCGCGGUGCUUGCCGUAGGUGGCCAGCAGCGCCUGCGCCUC